This 1272-nucleotide ribosomal RNA is filed under the name Triticum aestivum (bread wheat). RNAcentral describes it as "partial small subunit ribosomal RNA". The record is from RNAcentral. Lineage: Eukaryota; Viridiplantae; Streptophyta; Magnoliopsida; Poales; Poaceae.
AUGCAGUUGUUGAUGGAUGAGAGUCUUUGCUUCUUAAUGAAAUCCAAUUGGGUCUUUGCUCUUGGUGCCUUGACGUCUUAUUGCUGCUGCAGUAGCUUCGGUGGAGGUUUUGUAGGUUUCUGCACUCCUGCUCCUGCUUCUAGUGAAUCCAUCUCAACCAUCACAGGUAAAUUACUUCUCAUUAGUGCUUGGGAAAGACCCACCAAGCUCAACUUCGAGCGCGUCCCCACAAAAGAACAUGCUACGUUCUGUAGCAUCCAUCAGUUCCAGUGCAUUGAGCAGCCACUCCUUCCUAAGGCUCGUGCUCAAGCGGAGCAUGGGGAUCUAGGCGCCCCAGCCACCGCUAACCCUGGGGAUCCUGCGGCCGCUGAUGCCCUGCCCCCUCCCAUAAGAGGGGGCGUCGCGGCCGCCCGACAAAGUAGGCUCCCCGCUCUGCGAAUGGCGGGUGCGCUAGUUCAUCCCCACCCGAGGAGCCUAGUAGUCGUGCCGAGAAGCGGCGGCCUCCCCGCCACGUACUUUCUGUGCUACGGACGUCUGGCACCAUUGCACUAUGGUUACCCGCCAGUUCAUGCGGGGGUGAGGGGCCAACCUAGGUGCCGACCUCAGGGCCUGCAAAAGGGGGCCCUGGUCGACCAGAUUAAGGCCCUGGAUGAGGAGGCUGGUGCAGCCGGCCUCUCGGCCGAUGAUUGGCUUAGGCGGUACUCCAUCGAAUCUUCACUUAUGGAGAUCUUCAAGGGUGAAGAACUAUUUUGGCAACACUACAGGGGGCAGAAUUGGCUUCUCAAAGGAGACGCCAAUACCGCAUACUUCCAUGCUCUAUUCCAUGCCUCUGGGAGGGGGCUCUUCAUGGCAGAACCCCAUGGUGGGGUUUCCUUAGCGGAUGACUUUUGGUCGCCCGCGGCCAGAGUUUUCAACAUUGAGAAUGGGGAACUAAAUCUCCCAUUCUUGCCAGAAGAGGUGGGUAGGGCUAUUGCCUCUAUGAAGGCGGGGUCGGCCCCGAGGCUGAAUGGCUUGCCGGUGGCCUUCUGCCAGAUAUUCUGGAAUGUCCUGAAGCCGGUGAUCAUGCUGAUGUUUCACAAAUUCUACAUUUGGACCUUCGACAUGUCCAGGAUAAAUUUUCGUGUUAUCACCCCGAUCCCCAAAGUAGUUGGGAUGACGGACAUGGUGAUUAAUGUACUCAAGCAGAUUUUUGCUAAAGUCAGCUCGACGCGCUUAACUCCUGUGGAGGAGCGGCUCGCUCAACCCCUCCAGAUGAUGUCCGUGAAGGGCUGA